GAUGAAUGCUGGCGGUGUGCCUAAUACAUGCAAGUCGAGCGGAAAGGCCCCUUCGGGGGUACUCGAGCGGCGGACGGCUGAGUAACGCGUAGGAACGUACCCCAAACUGAGGGAUAAUCCACCGAAAGGUGGACUAAUACCGCAUGUGCCCUUCGGAGUAAAGCUUCGGCGGUUUGGGAACGGCCUGCGUCCGAUUAGGUUGUUGGUGAGGUAACGGCUCACCAAGGCGACGACGGGUAGCCGGCCUGAGAGGGUGACCGGCCACACUGGGACUGAGACACGGCCCAGACUCCUACGGGAGGCAGCAGUGGGGAAUAUUGCACAAUGGGCGCAAGCCUGAUGCAGCAACGCCGCGUGAGGGAUGACGGCCUUCGGGUUGUAAACCUCUUUUAGUAGGGAAGAAGCGAAAGUGACGGUACCUGCAGAAAAAGCACCGGCUAACUACGUGCCAGCCGCCGCCGUAA
Molecule: ribosomal RNA, 464 nt
Filed under: uncultured bacterium
Lineage: Bacteria
Description: partial 16S ribosomal RNA
Rfam family: Bacterial small subunit ribosomal RNA
Source: RNAcentral